CCUACGGGAGGCAGCAGUGGGGAAUCUUGCGCAAUGGGCGAAAGCCUGACGCAGCCAUGCCGCGUGAAUGAUGAAGGUCUUAGGAUUGUAAAAUUCUUUCACCGGGGACGAUAAUGACGGUACCCGGAGAAGAAGCCCCGGCUAACUUCGUGCCAGCAGCCGCGGUAAUACGAAGGGGGCUAGCGUUGCUCGGAAUUACUGGGCGUAAAGGGAGCGUAGGCGGAUAGUUUAGUCAGAGGUGAAAGCCCAGGGCUCAACCUUGGAAUUGCCUUUGAUACUGGCUAUCUUGAGUACGGAAGAGGUAUGUGGAACUCCGAGUGUAGAGGUGAAAUUCGUAGAUAUUCGGAAGAACACCAGUGGCGAAGGCGACAUACUGGUCCGUUACUGACGCUGAGGCUCGAAAGCGUGGGGAGCAAACAGGAUUAGAUACCCUGGUAGUCCACGCUGUAAACGAUGAGUGCUAGUUGUCGGCAGGCAUGCCUGUCGGUGACGCNGCUACGACAUAAGCACUCCGCCGUGGGAGGUACGGUCGCGAGAUUAAACUACAAGAAGUAGACGCGNGAGAGUGCGACGACGACGACGAGGGAGUAGG
This 592-nucleotide ribosomal RNA is filed under the name uncultured bacterium. RNAcentral describes it as "bacterial SSU rRNA". It matches the Rfam family "Bacterial small subunit ribosomal RNA", at positions 338 to 951 of the family's 1533-position model. The record is from RNAcentral.